GAUGAACGCUGGCGGCGUGCCUAAUACAUGCAAGUCGAGCGAACAGACGAGGAGCUUGCUCCUCUGACGUUAGCGGCGGACGGGUGAGUAACACGUGGAUAACCUACCUAUAAGACUGGGAUAACUUCGGGAAACCGGAGCUAAUACCGGAUAAUAUAUUGAACCGCAUGGUUCAAUAGUGAAAGACGGUUUUGCUGUCACUUAUAGAUGGAUCCGCGCCGCAUUAGCUAGUUGGUAAGGUAACGGCUUACCAAGGCAACGAUGCGUAGCCGACCUGAGAGGGUGAUCAGCCACAGUGGAACUGAGACACGGGCCAGACUCCUACGGGAGGCAGCAGUAGGGAAUCUUCCGCAAUGGGCGAAAGCCUGACGGAGCAACGCCGCGUGAGUGAUGAAGGUCUUCGGAUCGUAAAACUCUGUUAUUAGGGAAGAACAAAUGUGUAAGUAACUAUGCACGUCUUGACGGUACCUAAUCAGAAAGCCACGGCUAACUACGU
Molecule: ribosomal RNA, 496 nt
Filed under: uncultured bacterium
Lineage: Bacteria
Description: partial 16S ribosomal RNA
Rfam family: Bacterial small subunit ribosomal RNA
Source: RNAcentral